This 408-nucleotide ribosomal RNA is filed under the name uncultured microorganism. RNAcentral's name for it is "bacterial SSU rRNA". It matches the Rfam family "Bacterial small subunit ribosomal RNA", at positions 509 to 917 of the family's 1533-position model. The record is from RNAcentral.
CAGCCGCCGCGGUAAUACGUAGGGUGCAAGCGUUAAUCGGAAUUACUGGGCAUAAAGCGUGCGCAGGCGGUUCGGAAAGAAAGAUGUGAAAUCCCAGAGCUUAACUUUGGAACUGCAUUUUUAACUACCGGGCUAGAGUGUGUCAGAGGGAGGUGGAAUUCCGCGUGUAGCAGUGAAAUGCGUAGAUAUGCGGAGGAACACCGAUGGCGAAGGCAGCCUCCUGGGAUAACACUGACGCUCAUGCACGAAAGCGUGGGGAGCAAACAGGAUUAGAUACCCUGGUAGUCCACGCCCUAAACGAUGUCAACUAGCUGUUGGGGCCUUCGGGCCUUGGUAGCGCAGCUAACGCGUGAAGUUGACCGCCUGGGGAGUACGGUCGCAAGAUUAAAACUUAAAGGAAAUGGCGGG